UGAGGAAUAUUGGUCAAUGGGCGCAAGCCUGAACCAGCCAUGCCGCGUGCAGGAUGAAGCAUCUAUGGUGUGUAAACUGCUUUUGUACGGGAAGAAACCCCGCCUCGUGAGGCGGAUUGACGGUACCGUAAGAAUAAGGAUCGGCUAACUCCGUGCCAGCAGCCGCGGUAAUACGGAGGAUCCAAGCGUUAUCCGGAAUCAUUGGGUUUAAAGGGUCCGUAGGCGGCCUUAUAAGUCAGUGGUGAAAUCUCCCCGCUCAACGGGGAAACUGCCAUUGAUACUGUAGGGCUUGAAUUAUUGUGAAGUAACCAGAAUAUGUAGUGUAGCGGUGAAAUGCUUAGAGAUUACAUGGAAUACCGAUUGCGAAGGCAGGUUACUAACGGUUAAUUGACGCUGAUGGACGAAAGCGUGGGUAGCGAACAG
Molecule: ribosomal RNA, 423 nt
Filed under: uncultured bacterium
Lineage: Bacteria
Description: bacterial SSU rRNA
Rfam family: Bacterial small subunit ribosomal RNA
Source: RNAcentral